Molecule: ribosomal RNA, 481 nt
Filed under: uncultured bacterium
Lineage: Bacteria
Description: partial 16S ribosomal RNA
Rfam family: Bacterial small subunit ribosomal RNA
Source: RNAcentral
GAUGAACGCUGGCGGCGUGCUUAACACAUGCAAGUCGAACGAAGCAUUUGCGACAGAUUUUUUCGGAAUGAAGUUGCUUAUGACUGAGUGGCGGACGGGUGAGUAACGCGUGGGUAACCUGCCUUGUAAUGGGGGAUAGCAGCUGGAAACGGCUGGUAAUACCGCAUAAGCGCACAAUGUUGCAUGACAUGGUGUGAAAAACUCCGGUGGUAUAAGAUGGACCCGCGUCUGAUUAGCUAGUUGGUGAGAUAACAGCCCACCAAGGCGACGAUCAGUAGCCGACCUGAGAGAGUGACCGGCCACAUAGGGACUGAGACACGGCCCAGACUCCUACGGGAGGCAGCAGUGGUGAAUAUUGCACAAUGGAGGAAACUCUGAUGCAGCGACGCCGCGUGAGUGAAGAAGUAAUUCGUUAUGUAAAGCUCUAUCAGCAGGGAAGAUAGUGACGGUACCUGACUAAGAAGCUCCGGCUAAAUACGUG